RNAcentral lists this small nuclear RNA (162 nucleotides) under Sorex araneus (European shrew). Its description in RNAcentral is "U1 spliceosomal RNA (ENSSARG00000019545.1)". It matches the Rfam family "U1 spliceosomal RNA". From Rfam's summary of the family: U1 is a small nuclear RNA (snRNA) component of the spliceosome (involved in pre-mRNA splicing). Its 5' end forms complementary base pairs with the 5' splice junction, thus defining the 5' donor site of an intron. The record is from RNAcentral. Lineage: Eukaryota; Metazoa; Chordata; Mammalia; Eulipotyphla; Soricidae.
AUACUUAACUGGCAGCGGAGGUAUCAUGAUCAUGACGGUAGUUUUUCCAGGCUUAUCCAUUGCACUGUGUAUGUUUUGACCAGCAAUUUUACCAAUUACUUUGUUGUAAAAACAUUACUUUGCUGUAAUGGGGGGAGGGGACUGUAUUUCUACUCUCCCAUG